GCAGAGCACUCUACGGGAGGCAGCAGUGGGGAAUAUUGCACAAUGGGCGCAAGCCUGAUGCAGCCAUGCCGCGUGUAUGAAGAAGGCCUUCGGGUUGUAAAGUACUUUCAGCAGUGAGGAAGGUGGGUAUGUUAAUAGCAUAUUCAUUUGACGUUAGCUGCAGAAGAAGCACCGGCUAACUCCGUGCCAGCAGCCGCGGUAAUACGGAGGGUGCGAGCGUUAAUCGGAAUUACUGGGCGUAAAGCGCAUGCAGGUGGUUUGUUAAGUCAGAUGUGAAAGCCCGGGGCUCAACCUCGGAAUUGCAUUUGAAACUGGCAAACUAGAGUACUGUAGAGGGGGGUAGAAUUUCAGGUGUAGCGGUGAAAUGCGUAGAGAUCUGAAGGAAUACCGGUGGCGAAGGCGGCCCCCUGGACAGAUACUGACACUCAGAUGCGAAAGCGUGGGGAGCAAACAGGAUUAGAUACCCUGGUAG
RNAcentral lists this ribosomal RNA (472 nucleotides) under uncultured bacterium. RNAcentral describes it as "bacterial SSU rRNA". It matches the Rfam family "Bacterial small subunit ribosomal RNA", at positions 328 to 793 of the family's 1533-position model. The record is from RNAcentral.